AGCUCAAGUCUCCUUUCAACGUUCCAUCCUAAGGCUUCAAAUUAGUUCUUGUGGCUAUCAAGAUGAAUUGAUCCUGGAGCAUCAGGGCAGGAAUACAACCAGUGCCAGAGGGGAAAAAGAAUACAAAGCCUGGAUGGAACAGGCCAUUGCAGGCAAUAGGGGAAUGGAAUGUCUCAGAUGCCCGAAAGAAGCAAAGGUUCAGAGAGAGCCUGAAAGGAUGAAUUUGGGCCUCCUGAAACAGUUUCUAGCCUGCUGCUUUGGUUCGAGCAAAUGUACCAGAAAAGAGAUGAAAGGCUGUCUGAGUACAUCAGAUGCUUGAACAGGUUGUUAUGUCAGAUUGUGGAGAGGAAGGGGAUGGAGCCAGCUGAAGUAGAACAAACCAGGAUGUUUUUGCAGGGUGCUUCCUCGGUCAUGUUGUCUCCACAGAAGCAAUAUCAAUCGACCCCACAAAGCUUGAGGCCAUCACUUCCUGGCCCAGACUGCAAAAUGGCUGAUUUGCAAUCAUUCCUAGGGUUCUUCUCGUACUAUCAAAGGUUUCUUAAGGGAUUUUCAAAGAUAGCUCGUCCCCUCAAUGAUCUGUUGAAGAAUGAGAGAGCAGUGGAUGUGUCCAACAGUUUGGGCCAGCUUCACCAGGAUAAGGGGCCCAGGUACUCCCUAGAGUCAGUUCAAGCAGAGUGGAUCCGAGCAGUGUGAACAGGCCUUUGACCAAUUGAAGAGGAGCCUAACAACACCCCCAUCUUGGCUUAUGCAGACCCGAAUUGCCCCUACGAGCUACAUGUUAAUGCUACCAGGACAGCCUUGGAGAAGUGUUUUAUCAGGAACAUGUUGGACAUUAGAUGCCAAUUGCCUACAUCAGCAGGGUUCACCCCAGUCAAGAAGAAUUUCCCCACCUAUAAAUGAGAGUUUCUGGCAUUAAAAUGGGCAGCAGUGGAUAAGCUGAAAGACUAAUUGCAUGGGACAGAGUUUGAGGUCAAGACCAACAACAACCCAAGCUUGACACCACAGGACAUCAGUAAAGGCCAUGGAAUCACUGAAGAUGUGACACCAAAAUCAUCUCCUACCUCUGAAUGAAGCAGUAUGAGUCUCCUGGUAGCAUACCCUACCACCUGUGGAACCCUGUUCAACGAGGAGGGGUCCAGUGACUUGCACACAGCCCCCUUCUUCUGUACUGGAGGAAGAGGGUGACAGUGAUGAGGAAAGGAGCUGUAUGAUCUGGUGGUGGUCACCUGAGCCCAUUGAAGCUGACCCACCUGUGUCCGACACAAGUACUAGGGACCACAUUGGCCAGAAGCAUCUGAGUUUAUGCCUCAUGCUCAGGAGCAGGAAGAUAUCCUUGGGAAACCCGUAAGAGAGGCCAGUGAGCAUUCCACACAGCAGCCAGAAGUGGAGAAUGAACUGCCAGCCUCAGAGACACCUGAGGAAGACCACCCCGGCUGAGCCUAGAGAACUGAGAACAAAAAGGCAAUACCCCGCUUCCACAAGAUGACAUAUGACACUUUGGGCCACAUCAUGGAAGAGGCAGCAUUCAUGGCCAGAAGGACCUCAGAAGGACAACUGCAGUUCGAUGAGCCCAUGAGGAACAGUAUGUAGACACAUCCCCCAUGCAUAAACGAAUGCAUAGGCCAUUAGGUAAAGCAUGAGGUGACUCAGGGUUGGGAGAAAUUGGGGGAGGCCUAGUGCCAAGAAGCCUCCCCCACCCUGUAAGAUAUCUGAUGCUCUGCCUUCUGCCCCUUGGUUUCCCCAAAGUCCUACGGGCCUCCUCCUUACCCUCACUUUCCCAUCACCAUUCGCUUACUUUUUGACGAGCUCAGGAAGUCAGCAUAGAGAAGGCCAUUCCCUCUCUGGGCCACAUGGCACAAUCAAGAAAAAGAAAUCCCAGUCAUUUUUGUUUCCAUGGUAAUCCUUUCCCUCAGACAGCAUAAACCAAUACAAUAUCUUCUUAGCUCUGCCAGCACUAGCUUUAUGCUGUGACGUUAAGAAAAAAAAUCGCACCUACAGUAUUUUGAUUUCCUGCAAACCUUUCUUCUCCAGCCAGCAUUAAUCAGUGCAAUUUCUUCUUAAUGCUGCCAGCUCUAGCUUUAUGCUAAUCUUAUGCUAGCAGCACUAAGAAGAUAUCAUAGUGGUUUAUGCUGGCUGGGGGGAAAGAUUUGGCAUGGAAACAAAAGAGAUCAGAUUUCUUCUUUGCUCUACCAGUGUAAGACUAGUGUAACGCUAACUCUGGUGGCACUAAAAAGAUAUCAUAGUGGUUUAUGCUGGCUGGGGGAAAGGAUUGCCAUGGAAAUAAAAGAGAUUUGAUUUUUUUCUUCUUGAUUAUGCCAUGUGGCCCAGCAAGGGAGCAACCUUCUCUACGCUGACUUCCUGAGUUCGUCAAAAAGAAGUCAUCAAUGUUCUCGAGCUCUGGGCCGCCCUCAUCGUGGAGUUGGGUCACCCACUCUGCUACUUCACCCUCUAGGUUGUCUGUGAUGGCUGAGAUCAUUUCUUGGAAACAUCCCACAAGCUCUGAUCCUCCUCCCACAGCCCAGCAGACUGAGUCAGAAGCCAAAAUUCUAAUUUCAGCAGAUAAAUGUUGCAUUCAACAACUGGAAGAAACUGUAUAGCACAUUUUCCAGCAUAUAGCACAGGAAACAAGAGAUGGAUGUCUGAAGGGAAGCAAAGGAACCAUGAAAGGACAACUUGCUUUGAAAACAUGAGAGUUCACUGCAAUUUAUGACAAAUAUAUCAAUGAUGCAAGUGAAUUUUCAGAGUAAUUUUCUUCCUGUGCUAUUUCUUUUUUACACUGCAAGAAAAAAACCUCAAGAUUUAAACAUUUGAAAAAAAUGGAGUAAAUGAUUAAUUAAAAAUGAUUUCUUAGAAAAAGUAAAAGAAAGCAUCAUUCUC
Molecule: long non-coding RNA, 2877 nt
Organism: Pantherophis guttatus
Lineage: Eukaryota; Metazoa; Chordata; Lepidosauria; Squamata; Colubridae
Source: RefSeq, a predicted model, not a curated record